CUUUCCAAGGAGGUUGUCGUCCAAGUCGCGUCCCUUGAGACCUCCCAUGCCAUCUGGACGGCUUUGGCGAACAUGUUCGCUGUUGUCUCUCUGUCGCGCAAUCUUCGGGCCGCUCUCACCAGCGCGCAAAAUGGUACCCAGUCCGCCUCCGCCUACUUCGGGCAUAUGCGUUCUCUCUCCGAUGAACUCGCGGCAGCGGGUAAACCACUUGGGGAGGGGGAACUCAUCUCUUUCCUCAUCGCUGGCCUCGACAUGGAUUAUCAUCCCAUCAUAUCAGGUCUGGAUGUUCGCACCGAGCCCGUUACUGUCGAUGCUCUCUUCUCUCUGGUCGCUCACUUUGAUCAGAGAGUUGAGAUGUUUCACGGUGGUGGGGCUGGGGGUUUUAAAUCCUCAGCCAACAUCGCUUCCCGCGGGCAAUCAAGCGGCAGCAAGGGCAACUACCGCAACCAAAAAGGAGGUGGCGGUGGUAGUGGCCCUCGCGGUGGCGGCGGCCACGGCAACAACAACGGCUAUGGUGCUGGUCCAGGCGGCGGCUACAACAGCGGUGGUGGCGGCGGCCAUCCUCAGAACGGCGGCGGCGGCCACUACCAAGGCGGCAGUGGUGGUUGCAGCUACUACUAG
This 621-nucleotide ribosomal RNA is filed under the name Triticum aestivum (bread wheat). RNAcentral describes it as "partial small subunit ribosomal RNA". The record is from RNAcentral. Lineage: Eukaryota; Viridiplantae; Streptophyta; Magnoliopsida; Poales; Poaceae.